This is a long non-coding RNA of Lagopus muta (rock ptarmigan), 673 nucleotides long. RefSeq lists it as uncharacterized. The record is from RefSeq and is a predicted model, not a curated record. The transcript has 2 exons. NCBI's taxonomy places the organism in Eukaryota, Metazoa, Chordata, Aves, Galliformes, Phasianidae.
UCUGGAGAUCCCCCUCUUUUGGUAUCUUCUAGUGAGCUCAACUCAAGGGAAGGAGGUGAUCCUUUUGGACUUCCUGGGACCUGGACAAACCAUCAGCUCUGACCACUACAUCGCAAUGCAGAUGAAGCUGAAAGCUUGAAUUUCCAGAAUCAGGCUCAUGAAAAAAGAGACACUUUCUCUGGCAACAUGGUAAUGCCAGGUACCAUACCAGUUUGAAGACCAUGGUGCACAUUGUCAAUCUUGCCUGGGCUGUUCUACAAAACCCACUGUAUAUUCUGGUUUUAUUCCCUUCUGGCUUCCUCCGGUUCAGACCAAAGAAAGGUGGACUAUGUGGGCAACAUUUUUCUAGCAGCAACAUCAUAAGAUCUGUGAAACAGUGGGUCAUCUCCACUGGUCUGUUUUUUUUAUGAGCAUGGAAUGCAGGCUCUCGUUCAUCACUGAUGAAAAUACAUAGCUAAUGUUGGUAACUACAUUGAAAAAUAGCAUUAUGUAGCUGAAAAUUUGCUCUAUCAAACAGUGUUGUUACACUUUUCGCAUUUGUUAUAGUUUCCAUGAAGAUAAAUAGGAGGCAUUACUUGUGGAGCAACCUACAAAGAAGACAUUAAUCUUAUUAACAAAACUGAUUUAGAUGGAAUCUUCUAUUCAGCACUCAGAAAUAAACAGUCCGAAAACA